This 810-nucleotide ribosomal RNA is filed under the name uncultured beta proteobacterium. RNAcentral describes it as "bacterial SSU rRNA". It matches the Rfam family "Bacterial small subunit ribosomal RNA", at positions 76 to 883 of the family's 1533-position model. The record is from RNAcentral. Lineage: Bacteria; Pseudomonadati; Pseudomonadota; Betaproteobacteria.
GGGGCAACCUGGCGGCGAGCGGCGAACGGGUGAGUAAUGCAUCGGAACAUGUCCAUACAUGGGGGAUAGCCCGGCGAAAGCCGGAUUAAUACCGCAUACGCCCGAGAGGGGAAAGUGGGGGACCGCAAGGCCUCACGCGGAUGGGUUGGCCGAUGCCCGAUUAGCUAGUUGGCGGGGUAAGAGCCCACCAAGGCGAUGAUCGGUAGCUGGUCUGAGAGGAUGAUCAGCCACACUGGGACUGAGACACGGCCCAGACUCCUACGGGAGGCAGCAGUGGGGAAUUUUGGACAAUGGGGGCAACCCUGAUCCAGCCAUUCCGCGUGAGUGAAGAAGGCCUUCGGGUUGUAAAGCUCUUUUGUCCGGAACGAAACGGUUACGGCUAAUACCCGUGACUACUGACGGUACCGGAAGAAUAAGCACCGGCUAACUACGUGCCAGCAGCCGCGGUAAUACGUAGGGUGCGAGCGUUAAUCGGAAUUACUGGGCGUAAAGCGUGCGCAGGCGGUUUUGUAAGCCAGAUGUGAAAUCCCCGGGCUUAACCUGGGAAUGGCAUUUGGGACUGCAAGGCUUGAGUGCGGCAGAGGAGACUGGAAUUCCUGGUGUAGCAGUGAAAUGCGUAGAUAUCAGGAGGAACACCGAUGGCGAAGGCAGGUCUCUGGGCUGACACUGACGCUCAUGCACGAAAGCGUGGGGAGCAAACAGGAUUAGAUACCCUGGUAGUCCACGCCCUAAACGAUGUCGACUGGUUGUUGGGGGUUUGACACUCUCAGUAACGAAGCUAACGCGUGAAGUCGACCGCCUGGGGAGUAC